CGAAGAACCUUACCAGGUCUUGACAUCCCGAUGCUAUUUCUAGAGAUAGAAGUUACUUCGGUACAUCGGUGACAGGUGGUGCAUGGCUGUCGUCAGCUCGUGUCGUGAGAUGUUGGGUUAAGUCCCGCAACGAGCGCAACCCUUACCCUUAGUUGUUUUCCCGAAAGGAUUACCCUCUAAGGGGACUGCCCCGGACAACGGGGAGGAAGGUGGGGAUGACGUCAAGUCCGCAUGCUCCUUACGUCUAGGGCUACACACGUCCUACAAUGGGGUCGACAGUGGGAUGCAAAGCCGCGAGGUGGAGCCAAUCCCCAAACGGCCUCUCAGUUCGGAUAGUAGUCUGCAACUCGACUACUUGAAGUCGGAAUCGCUAGUAAUGGCGGAUCAGCAUGCCGCCGUGAAUACGUUCCCGGGUCUU
This 418-nucleotide ribosomal RNA is filed under the name uncultured bacterium. RNAcentral describes it as "bacterial SSU rRNA". It matches the Rfam family "Bacterial small subunit ribosomal RNA", at positions 962 to 1382 of the family's 1533-position model. The record is from RNAcentral.